This 305-nucleotide ribosomal RNA is filed under the name uncultured bacterium. RNAcentral's name for it is "bacterial SSU rRNA". It matches the Rfam family "Bacterial small subunit ribosomal RNA", at positions 334 to 653 of the family's 1533-position model. The record is from RNAcentral.
UUUGCCUACGGGGCGCAGCAGUGGGGGAUAUUGGACAAUGGGGGGAACCCUGAUCCAGCGACGCCGCGUGAGUGAAGAAGUAUCUCGGUAUGUAAAGCUCUAUCAGCAGGGAAGAAAGAAAUGACGGUACCUGAGUAAGAAGCCCCGGCUAACUACGUGCCAGCAGCCGCGGUAAUCCGUAGGGGGCAAGCGUUAUCCGGACUUACUGGGUGUAACGGGAGCGUAGACGGUGAAGUAAGUCUGGAGUGAAAGGCGGGGGCCCAACCCCCGGACUGCUCUGGCAACUAUUUGACUGUCGUGCAGGG